AACGAACGCUGGCGGCAGGCUUAACACAUGCAAGUCGAACGAGCUGGGGGCUUCGGUCUGCGAUGCUAGUGGCGCACGGGUGUGUAAAACGCGGGAAUAUGCCCUUUAGUACGGAAUAACCACGGGAAAAUUUGGCUAAUACCGCCUACGACCUGCGGGGGCAAGAUUAGGCGCGUGGGGAUGGGCCCGCGGCUGGUCAGGUAGUUGGUGGGGUAGUGGCUUAUCAAGGCGUCGACGGGUAGCUGGGCUGAGAGGGUGACAGGACCAAUUGGGACUGAGAUACGGCCCAGACUACUACGGGAGGCAGCAGUGGGGAAUAUUGCACAAUGGGAGGAAGCCAGAUGCAGCAACGCCGCGUCGGGGAUGACGGCAUUCGGGUUGUAAUCCGAAUUCGCCUGUGACGAAGCGUUAGUGACGGUACUGGGUAAAGAAGCACCGGCUAACUACGUG
Molecule: ribosomal RNA, 450 nt
Filed under: uncultured bacterium
Lineage: Bacteria
Description: partial 16S ribosomal RNA
Rfam family: Bacterial small subunit ribosomal RNA
Source: RNAcentral